UUAACAAAAACAUGUCCUUUUGAUUAUAAUUUAAGGUCUAAUCUGCUCAAUGAUUUUUAAAUAGCCGCAGUAUUUUAACUGUGCAAAGGUAGCAUAAUAAUUAGCUUCUUAAUUAGAGGCUUGUAUGAAUGAUUGGACGAAAAAAUUUCUGUCUCCUUUUAAUGGGGUUUUGAAUUUUAUUUUUAAGUUAAAAAGCUUAAAUUUUUAUAAAAGACGAGAAGACCCUAUAGAGUUUUAUAUCUAAGAUUUAUUAAUAUGUAGUAAUUUCUUUAUUUUUUAGGUAUUUAGUUGGGGUGACUUGAAGAUUAAAUUAAUUCUUUAAAUAUUUAAUUGAUGAUUUUUAAAUUCGAAAUCUAUUUUUUUAAAUUUAAAAUUAAUUACCUUAGGGAUAACAGCGUAAUUUUUCUUUAAAGCUCUUAUUGAAAGGAAAUUUUGCGACCUCGAUGUUGGAUUAAAAUUAAUUUUUGGUGCAGUAACUUAAAAAUUAGGUCUGUUCGACCUUUAAAAUUUUACAUGAUCUGAGUUUAGACCGGCGUAAGCCAGGUUGGAUUCUAUCUUUAGAAUUGCUUAUAUAUUUUAGUACGAAAGGACCAAAUAUUUAUCUUAUAUUGAUUG
Molecule: ribosomal RNA, 615 nt
Filed under: Lyponia kuatunensis
Lineage: Eukaryota; Metazoa; Arthropoda; Insecta; Coleoptera; Lycidae
Description: partial 16S large subunit ribosomal RNA
Rfam family: Archaeal large subunit ribosomal RNA
Source: RNAcentral